RNAcentral lists this transfer RNA (133 nucleotides) under Burkholderia cenocepacia. Its description in RNAcentral is "tRNA-Ser". The record is from RNAcentral. Lineage: Bacteria; Pseudomonadati; Pseudomonadota; Betaproteobacteria; Burkholderiales; Burkholderiaceae.
GCGUAAAUAGUUUGGGAAAGGGCGCAAACCCUUAUAAAUCAAGGUGUUGCGAGGAUGGGUAAAAAAUAAGGAUUUGGGUUUAGGUCCUGACGCCCGCAAGGGUGUGCCGGUUCGAGUCCGGCCUCACGCACCA